GUUAUGGCCAUCAUCAAGCCAUUCAAGCUGGAAGAGGUCCGCGAUGCCCUGACCGCCAUCGGCGUUCACGGUCUCACGGUGACGGAAGUCAAGGGGUAUGGCCGUCAGAAAGGCCACACGGAAAUCUACCGCGGCGCUGAAUACGCCGUCAGUUUCCUGCCCAAGAUCAAGAUCGAGGUCGCUGUCGCCUCAUCCCAAGUCGACAAGACCAUCGAAGCGAUCACCGGCGCUGCAAAGACCGGCCAGAUCGGCGACGGCAAAAUCUUCGUCAUCAAUCUCG
This 280-nucleotide unclassified non-coding RNA is filed under the name Hevea brasiliensis (rubber tree). Lineage: Eukaryota; Viridiplantae; Streptophyta; Magnoliopsida; Malpighiales; Euphorbiaceae. The record is from RNAcentral.